UUGUGUGACCAAACAUAUUGGGCUUACAAUAAAAAGUCUAUUUACACUGCUCUGUCUAGUCUCUCAUCUCACUCUUACGAUUUUGGUUAGAUCUGAAAACUCAACACGUUAGGAAAGACCAAACAUUUUCUUUGGCUUUGCUCUCAUGGUAGACUGCCUAUAAGACUUUCUCCGACCAAAAAUUCUGGUUGGAUAUGGGUCUAAAUCUUUCUAGUUUGGAUAAGUCCACCAGCCAUUAGCUCAAUGCCCUUAAAUCUCUUUCACCCCCUUUUUUUGAUAGUUCCAUCGAUUGGUUGGCUCUUCUCCCUUUUGCUCUCUGGCACAUCUGGGUGAACCGAAAUAAUAAUGUUUGUAACAAAAAGAAAAGACUUCCCCAUUAUUGCUCUUGUUCAUGCUAAAACUGAUGAAUACAUUUCUACUACCUUUUCCAACAGCAACUAUAUAUAGGUUCUGUCUCUAUUGAUAUCCGAUGGUUCCGUAUUUAAGCUCAAUAUUAAUGAUGGGUCUUUCACUGUCAAUAUCGAUCGUUGUGGUUUUGGUGGGGUUAUCCGGGAUGCCUUGGGUGUCUGGGUUCUUGAUUUCUACCGUAAAAGCAUUAGUUAUUGCCACAUCUUGGUGGAAUUGGAGGUUAAUGUUAAAAAGCGUGGGAAGUCCAGUGGUGCAACAUAAUUUUCGGGAAGCAAAUACAGUAGCCAACAACUUCAGUCUCCAACUGACCACAUUUUGACAUCUUCACCGGUGGAAUUAGUGGAACAACUUCAAAAAGAUAUCAGCAGAACUCUAUGUCGUAGAUUACUAUCUUCGUCAAUGUAUAAUAACUUCUUCUGUGUACAAAAUCAGUCUGUGUCAGCUAUUACUAGUAUUAGUUUUUUGUUUUCUCUAAUGCUAAGCAUUGUACUACUAUUGUUACCUCUUCUAGUUUAAUCUCUACUACUGUUAGGGGUCGUUUGCUUUGAAAAAAAGUUAUAUCGGGAUUAGUUAUAUUGGAAUAAGUUAUAUUGA
Long non-coding RNA from Capsicum annuum, 1002 nucleotides. RefSeq lists it as uncharacterized. The record is from RefSeq and is a predicted model, not a curated record. The transcript has 2 exons. NCBI's taxonomy places the organism in Eukaryota, Viridiplantae, Streptophyta, Magnoliopsida, Solanales, Solanaceae.